Molecule: ribosomal RNA, 483 nt
Filed under: uncultured bacterium
Lineage: Bacteria
Description: partial 16S ribosomal RNA
Rfam family: Bacterial small subunit ribosomal RNA
Source: RNAcentral
UUGAACGCUGGCGGCAGGCCUAACACAUGCCAGUCGAGCGGAUGAAGGGAGCUUGCUCCUGGAUUCAGCGGCGGACGGGUGAGUAAUGCCUAGGAAUCUGCCUGGUAGUGGGGGAUAACGUCCGGAAACGGGCGCUAAUACCGCAUACGUCCUGAGGAAGAAAGUGGGGGAUCUUCGGACCUCACGCUAUCAGAUGAGCCUAGGUCGGAUUAGCUAGUUGGUGGGGUAAAGGCCUACCAAGGCGACGAUCCGUAACUGGUCUGAGAGGAUGAUCAGUCACACUGGAACUGAGACACGGUCCAGACUCCUACGGGAGGCAGCAGUGGGGAAUAUUGGACAAUGGGCGAAAGCCUGAUCCAGCCAUGCCGCGUGUGUGAAGAAGGUCUUCGGAUUGUAAAGCACUUUAAGUUGGGAGGAAGGGCAGUAAGUUAAUACCUUGCUGUUUUGACGUUACCAACAGAAUAAGCACCGGCUAACUUCGUG